Molecule: transfer RNA, 99 nt
Filed under: Microbispora corallina
Lineage: Bacteria; Bacillati; Actinomycetota; Actinomycetes; Streptosporangiales; Streptosporangiaceae
Description: tRNA-Asp
Source: RNAcentral
GGCGCGGUGUGGCUGGCGGAGACGGAGCGGUGCCCCUAUCAGGCGUUCCGGGUGGGCCGCCGGGCCUGGGGCGUGCAGUUCCACCCCGAGGUCGGGCCG